GUCGCCUUGCCAGAGUGGUUAAUGGGCUGGCCUGCUAUCACCAAGAUAACGGUAAGCCAGUGUCUUCGGACGCGCAGGUUCGAAUCCUGUGGGCGACG
Molecule: transfer RNA, 98 nt
Filed under: Colletotrichum orbiculare MAFF 240422
Lineage: Eukaryota; Fungi; Ascomycota; Sordariomycetes; Glomerellales; Glomerellaceae
Description: tRNA-Ser for anticodon GCU
Rfam family: tRNA
About the family: Transfer RNA (tRNA) molecules are approximately 80 nucleotides in length. Their secondary structure includes four short double-helical elements and three loops (D, anti-codon, and T loops).
Source: Rfam by way of RNAcentral